Piliocolobus tephrosceles (Ugandan red Colobus) is the source of this 1553-nucleotide long non-coding RNA. NCBI's taxonomy places the organism in Eukaryota, Metazoa, Chordata, Mammalia, Primates, Cercopithecidae. The record is from Ensembl.
AUGGAUUUUAAAACAACAGGCGUUUUGGAUAGUAAGAGUAAUAUACAUUUUAAUAAUAACAAUAAUAAUAAUAAUACUAACUGUGUUAGUACACAAAAUAAAACGAGUAGUAAAAAUGAUAACAAAGAUGAUACUUUUAGAAGCUACCGUUUCGGUAGCGUUAUGAGUAAGAACGAUUACGACGCAAUUACUGAAAAUAAAAAUAUGACUAAUAUAUCAAAGACCAUUACUGUUAAAUUUGAUAAUAAUAAAAAUUAUAAUUUAAAGCAUAACAUUAGUUCUACAAAAGAAGAUAACAACAUUUCUAUGAAUAUAAAAAAACAAUCCAAUAGCAUAAAUGUUAGUCCAUAUAUUAAAAUAAAUAAUAAUGAAAAUCUUUCAAAUAAAUUAUUAAAUUUGAAUAGGUAUAUGGCUUACAAUACGAAUAAUAAAAACGAAAAACUUCAAAAUAAUAUUCAUUCUGAAUGUAGUAGUAUGCACAACAAAAACCCGCAGUUAGAUGAGUCAAAUGUGAAUAUAACAAAUAAAAAUGCAAACAUAGCAAAUAAAAAUGCAAAUGUGACAAGUUUAGGUGUACACAAUGCAUGUUAUAACGAAUAUAGUAAGUACUAUAGAUCUGGUAGUAGCAAAAGUAUUGAAACCCCAUAUUCGAAUACUCCUUAUUUAAGUAAUCGAAAUGUUAGUACCCCAACUUUGAACAACAACAAUUCUUACCAGAAUGUUAACAACUUUAAUUUGAUUAAGACAACAUAUAACACAAAAGAAGAUAAGCAUAAUGUUGUAUCAUUUGCGAAACAUAAUUAUGUACACAACGGUAAUAAAAAUAUGGGAGAAAUCGAUAACAAAAUGGACAGAAAAAUUGGUAGAAAAAUUGGAAGCAAAUUUAGCAACAACAUUGGUAGCAGUAUUGACAACGGCAUUUCUAAUGGCAUUUCUAACGGCAUUUCUAACGGCAUUUCUAACGGUAUUUUUAACGGCAUUAGUAACGGUAUUGACGGUACAAGAGGAAUACAAUAUGAAAACAAAACAUAUGAUAAAAGAGAUAUUUAUGAUAAUAACAGAAAUUAUAUAAGUGACAAAAGUGAUGAUAUAUUUAAUGAUAAUCAAACAUCUAUUAUAAAAAAACAUAUUAUAAAUAAUGUUAAUUUUGAUAAAUUAAAAUUAGCUGCAUCUUAUUUAGAUACAGAAAAUAUAUAUAAUGUAGAUAAUGGUAUUCGUGAUAAUAGUAUUCAUAAUAAUAUAACUAUUGAUGGAAAACAAAAAAAAGCAGUACUAGAAGAAGUAGGUGUAAAAAAAAUAACAAUAUCCCUAAUGAUCAAUCUAUUAAACGAGAUAAUACAUAUAAAAAAUUAAUAAAUAGUAAUCACAUAGGUACAAAUAACACAACACAAAAUGUUUCAAAUAUUCAAAAAAUACAACACAUUAUAUACAUAUGCAAAUGGUAGCCCUGUGAUAACAGACAUGGCUAGUCCAAACAAAAGUAAAAUGAACAUAGAUAUGCACACUAAUUUUAGUAAUGGAAAUAAUUAUCAUUACGAUUAUUAUAGUAAUAA